AUUGCCCUAGUAACGGCGAGUGAAGCGGCAAAAGCUCAAAUUUGAAAUCGGGUUCGCGCAGGCGGACGCCGAGUUGUACUUUGCAGAAGGUGCCUAGGGAGGGGUGCUCGGUGGAGUCCUUUGGGACAAGGCGCCGUAGUGGGUGAGAGCCCCAUGCGCCGAACCACCUCGCCCUGUCGGGCCCUUUCGACGAGUCGAGUUGCUUGGGAGUGCAGCUCUAAUUGGGAGGUAAAUUUCUUCUAAGGCUCAAUACCUGCCAGAGACCGAUAGCGCACAAGUAGAGUAAUCGAAAGAUGAAAAGCACUUUGGAAAGAGAGUGAAACAGUAUGUGAAAUUGUUGAAAGGGAAGCGUUUCUAGCUAGACGUGCUAGACGCAUUCCGCUGCGCGUUUCGCGUAGCGUGCUUGCUGUCUAGCAGGCCAGCAUCGGUGCAGGAAGCGAGAGACGCGUCCACUGGGAUGUAGCUCCCUGCGGGGAGUGUUAUACCUAGGGGCGGUCGUUGCUGCUUGCACCGAGGCUCGCGCUUCGGCGUGGAUGCUGGCACAAUGGCUACAAACGGCCCGUCUUGAAACACGGACCAAGGAGUCGAACGUCGGUGCGAGUAGUUGGGUCGCAAGCCCAAGUGCGUAAUCAACGUGAACGGAGGUCGGAUCUAGGGCGCGAGCCCUAGUGCACGAUCGACCGAUCCUGAAGCUCGCGGAUGGAUUUGAGUAGCAGCACCGCUGUUCGGACCCGAAAGAUGGUGAACUAUGCCUAAAUAGGGCGAAGCCAGAGGAAACUCUGGUGGAGGCUCGCAGCGGUUCUGACGUGCAAAUCGAUCGUCAAAUUUGGGUAUAGGGGCGAAAGACCAAUCGAACCAUCUAGUAGCUGGUUCCUGCCGAAGUUUCCCUCAGGAUAGCAGUAACGGCGUCCAGUUCUAUGAGGUAAAGCGAAUGAUUAGAGGCCUGGGGGCUGUAACAGCCUUCACCUAUUCUCAAACUU
Molecule: ribosomal RNA, 980 nt
Filed under: Pyrenidium actinellum
Lineage: Eukaryota; Fungi; Ascomycota; Dothideomycetes; Pyrenidiaceae
Description: partial large subunit ribosomal RNA
Rfam family: Eukaryotic large subunit ribosomal RNA
Source: RNAcentral